UUGAGUAUAAAUUCUUAAAUAAUAAAGUCGGUCCUUGGUGUGGCGUUUGCGGCAGCGCUUGUGGAUGGAGAGUGACCUCGUGGCGUCCUUCUGAAGGUCC
Long non-coding RNA from Melitaea cinxia (Glanville fritillary), 100 nucleotides. RefSeq lists it as uncharacterized. The record is from RefSeq and is a predicted model, not a curated record. Lineage: Eukaryota; Metazoa; Arthropoda; Insecta; Lepidoptera; Nymphalidae. The transcript has 4 exons.